UGGCAAACGGGUGCGUAACACGUGGGUGACCUACCCCAAAGUGGGGAACAACAGACCGAAAGGUUUGCUAAUACCGCAUUCGCUCGGCGAUUCAGUUUGCCGAGUAAAGCCGCAAGGCGCUUUGGGAGGGGCCCGCGUCCCAUCAGGUAGUUGGUGAGGUAAUGGCCCACCAAGCCGAUGACGGGUAGCUGGUCUGAGAGGACGAUCAGCCACACUGGAACUGAGAAACGGUCCAGACUCCUACGGGAGGCAGCAGUGGGGAAUUUUCCGCAAUGGGCGCAAGCCUGACGGAGCAACGCCGCGUAAGGGAUGAAGGCUUUCGGGUCGUAAACCUUUGUCGUGCAAGAAGAAUGUCUUUUGGGUAAAUAAUCCAGAAGAAUGACUGUAUUGCAGGAGGAAGCUCCGGCUAACUACGUGCCAGCAGCCGCGGUAAGACGUAGGGAGCUAGCGUUGUCCGGAAUUAUUGGGCAUAAAGGGCGCGCAGGUGGUUAGGUAAGUCACCUGUUUAAUCCGCAAGCUUAACUUGCGAUCGGCAGGUGAAACUAUCUAGCUAGAGUAUAGGAGAGGAAAGCGGAAUUCCCAGUGUAGCGGUGAAAUGCGUAGAUAUUGGGAAGAACACCGGUGGCGAAGGCGGCUUUCUGGACUAUUACUGACACUGAGGCGCGAAAGCCAGGGGAGCAAACGGGAUUAGAUACCCCGGUAGUCCUGGCCGUAAACGGUGGACACUAGGUGUAUCCUGAGUUAUCGGGAUGUGCCGAAGCUAAUGCAUUAAGUGUUCCGCCUGGGGAGUACGCCCGCAAGGGUGAAACUCAAAGGAAUUGACGGGGGCCCGCACAAGCGGUGGAGCAUGUGGUUUAAUUCG
This 862-nucleotide ribosomal RNA is filed under the name uncultured bacterium. RNAcentral's name for it is "bacterial SSU rRNA". It matches the Rfam family "Bacterial small subunit ribosomal RNA", at positions 96 to 953 of the family's 1533-position model. The record is from RNAcentral.